AUACGGAGGGGGCUAGCGUUGUUCGGAAUUACUGGGCGUAAAGCGUACGUAGGCGGACUGAUCAGUUGGGGGUGAAAUCCCAGGGCUUAACCCUGGAACUGCCUUCAAUACUGUCAGUCUUGAGUUUGGGAGAGGUGAGUGGAAUUCCUAGUGUAGAGGUGAAAUUCAUAGAUAUUAGGAGGAACACCAGUGGCGAAGGCGGCUCACUGGCCCAUUACUGACGCUGAGGUACGAAAGCGUGGGGAGCAAACAGAAUUAGAUACCCUAGUAGUCC
RNAcentral lists this ribosomal RNA (274 nucleotides) under uncultured bacterium. RNAcentral's name for it is "partial 16S ribosomal RNA". It matches the Rfam family "Bacterial small subunit ribosomal RNA", at positions 523 to 796 of the family's 1533-position model. The record is from RNAcentral.